RNAcentral lists this ribosomal RNA (440 nucleotides) under uncultured bacterium. RNAcentral describes it as "partial 16S ribosomal RNA". It matches the Rfam family "Bacterial small subunit ribosomal RNA", at positions 338 to 795 of the family's 1533-position model. The record is from RNAcentral.
CCUACGGGGUGCAGCAGUGGGGGAUAUUGCACAAUGGGGGAAACCCUGAUGCAGCGACGCCGCGUGGGUGAAGAAGCGCCUCGGCGCGUCAAGCCCUGUCAGCAGGGAAGAAAAUGACGGUACCUCAAGAAGAAGCACCGGCUAACUACGUGCCAGCAGCCGCGGUAAUACGUAGGGGGCAAGCGUUAUCCGGAUUUACUGGGUGUAAAGGGCGUGUAGACGGGUUUACAAGUCAGAUGUGAAAUCCUGCGGCUUAACCGCAGAACUGCAUUUGAAACUGUUGAUCUUGAGUACUGGAGAGGCAGACGGAAUUCCUAGUGUAGCGGUGAAAUGCGUAGAUAUUAGGAGGAACACCAGUGGCGAAGGCGGUCUGCUGGACAGCAACUGACGGUGAGGCGCGAAAGCGUGGGGAGCAAACAGGAUUAGAUACCCCUGUAGUC